RNAcentral lists this ribosomal RNA (253 nucleotides) under uncultured bacterium. Its description in RNAcentral is "partial 16S ribosomal RNA". It matches the Rfam family "Bacterial small subunit ribosomal RNA", at positions 524 to 776 of the family's 1533-position model. The record is from RNAcentral.
UACGAAGGGUGCAAGCGUUACUCGGAAUUACUGGGCGUAAAGCGUGCGUAGGCGGUUUGUUAAGUCUGCUGUGAAAGCCCCGGGCUCAACCUGGGAACGGCAGUGGAUACUGGCAAGCUAGAGUGUGUCAGAGGAUGGUGGAAUUCCCGGUGUAUCGGUGAAAUGCGUAGAGAUCGGGAUGAACAUCAGUGGCGAAGGCGGCCAUCUGGGACAAAACUGACGCUUAGGCACGAAAGCGUGGGGAGCAAACAGG